CCUACGGGAGGCAGCAGUGAGGAAUAGUGGUCAAUGGGCGGAAGCCUGAACCAGCCAAGUCGCGUGAGGGAAUAAGGCCCUACGGGUCGUAAACCUCUUUUGCCGGGGAGCAAGGGCCGGGACGCGUCCCGGCCCGGAGAGUACCCGGAGAAAAAGCAGCGGCUAACUCCGUGCCAGCAGCCGCGGUAAUACGGAGGAUGCGAGCGUGAGCCGGAUUUAUUGGGUUUAAUGGGGGCGUAGGCGGGCUUUUAAGUCAGCGGUAAAAAUUCGGGGCUCAACCCCGUCCGGCCGUUGAAACUGGGGGCCUUGAGUGGGCGAGAAGUAGGCGGAAUGCGUGGUGUAGCGGU
Molecule: ribosomal RNA, 347 nt
Filed under: uncultured bacterium
Lineage: Bacteria
Description: partial 16S ribosomal RNA
Rfam family: Bacterial small subunit ribosomal RNA
Source: RNAcentral